Molecule: ribosomal RNA, 414 nt
Filed under: uncultured soil bacterium
Lineage: Bacteria
Description: bacterial SSU rRNA
Rfam family: Bacterial small subunit ribosomal RNA
Source: RNAcentral
CAGUCGAACGGAUCCUUCGGGAUUAGUGNCGGACGGGUGAGUAACACGUGGGAACGUGCCCUUUGGUUCGGAACAACUCAGGGAAACUUGAGCUAAUACCGGAUAAGCCUUUCGAGGGAAAGAUUUAUCGCCAUUGGAGCGGCCCGCGUAGGAUUAGCUAGUUGGUGGGGUAAAGGCCCACCAAGGCUACGAUCCUUAGCUGGUCUGAGAGGAUGAUCAGCCACAUUGGGACUGAGACACGGCCCAAACUCCUACGGGAGGCAGCAGUGGGGAAUCUUGCGCAAUGGGCGAAAGCCUGACGCAGCCAUGCCGCGUGAAUGAUGAAGGUCUUAGGAUUGUAAAAUUCUUUCACCGGGGACGAUAAUGACGGUACCCGGAGAAGAAGCCCCGGCUAACUUCGUGCCAGCAGCCGCG